GAGCCAUUAGCUCAGCUGGUAGAACAUCUGACUUUUAAUCAGAGGGUCAGAGGUUCGAAUCCUCUAUGGCUCA
RNAcentral lists this transfer RNA (73 nucleotides) under Staphylococcus aureus. Its description in RNAcentral is "tRNA-Lys". It matches the Rfam family "tRNA". From Rfam's summary of the family: Transfer RNA (tRNA) molecules are approximately 80 nucleotides in length. Their secondary structure includes four short double-helical elements and three loops (D, anti-codon, and T loops). The record is from RNAcentral. Lineage: Bacteria; Bacillati; Bacillota; Bacilli; Caryophanales; Staphylococcaceae.